Molecule: ribosomal RNA, 253 nt
Filed under: uncultured bacterium
Lineage: Bacteria
Description: partial 16S ribosomal RNA
Rfam family: Bacterial small subunit ribosomal RNA
Source: RNAcentral
UACGUAGGGGGCAAGCGUUGUCCGGAUUUAUUGGGCGUAAAGAGCGUGUAGGCGGCUAGGUAGGUCCGUUGUGAAAACUCGAGGCUCAACCUCGAGACGUCGAUGGAAACCAUCUAGCUAGAGUCCGGAAGAGGAGAGUGGAAUUCCUGGUGUAGCGGUGAAAUGCGCAGAUAUCAGGAGGAACACCCGUGGCGAAAGCGGCUCUCUGGAACGGUACUGACGCUGAGACGCGAAAGCGUGGGGAGCGAACAGG